AAUAUGAAGGUCAGCUGAGACCUUACCGGAUUAGCUGAGAGGUGGUGCAUUGGCCGUCGUCAGUUCGUACUGUGAAGCAUCCUGUUAAGUCAGGCAACGAGCGAGACCCACGUCCACAGUUGCCAGCAUACCCUCCGGGGUGAUGGGUACACUGUGGAGACCGCCGCUGCUAAAGCGGAGGAAGGAAUGGGCAACGGUAGGUCAGUAUGCCCCGAAUCUCCCGGGCUACACGCGGGCUACAAUGGUUGGUACAAUGGGCAUCUACCCCGAAAGGUGAAGGCAAUCUCCUAAACCCAUCCGUAGUUCGGAUUGUGGGCUGCAACUCGCCCACAUGAAGCUGGAAUCUGUAGUAAUCGUGUCUCAAAAUGGCACGGUGAAUAUGUCCCUGCUCCUU
This 394-nucleotide ribosomal RNA is filed under the name uncultured Methanosaeta sp. RNAcentral's name for it is "bacterial SSU rRNA". It matches the Rfam family "Archaeal small subunit ribosomal RNA", at positions 944 to 1338 of the family's 1478-position model. Lineage: Archaea; Methanobacteriati; Methanobacteriota; Methanomicrobia; Methanotrichales; Methanotrichaceae. The record is from RNAcentral.